Chenopodium quinoa (quinoa) is the source of this 478-nucleotide long non-coding RNA. RefSeq lists it as uncharacterized. The transcript is spliced from 2 exons. The record is from RefSeq and is a predicted model, not a curated record. Lineage: Eukaryota; Viridiplantae; Streptophyta; Magnoliopsida; Caryophyllales; Amaranthaceae.
UAAGGAUGUUCUUGCUGUCCCCGUAUCAACCGUGGCCUCCGAAUCAGCUUUUAGUACUGGAAGUCGGGUGCUUGAUUGUUAUAGAAGUUCUUUAAAAUCAGAAACGGUGGAAGCUAUCAUUUGCUUAAGGGAUUGAGCCUUUGGGGAAGCAAAUAUGGAUCCUCAAAUGGAAAUGCUAUGUGGAUCAGUUAUGAAGCUUAAGGUGGAGGACAACAACGACAAUCAUGACACACCACGUUCCUUGCCCGAACUUGAACAAUUUGAUGAGAAUGCUUCUUCAAACAUUGUUUGAUCAUUUCUGAUUUUUUAAAAAACAUUUAUUUCUUUUUAAUUGUGGUUUGUAAUUUGUUUAAGACUAAUUUUGUUAUGUAAUAGUUAAUUAGGUAUUUAGACUUGUUAGACUUUAUUUGGUUUUCUACUUUUCUUAAAAUCUUUAAGUUUGGAAAUCAUGUUUGAAAACAUUAGGUAAAAAAAAAAA